Molecule: long non-coding RNA, 497 nt
Filed under: Rosa chinensis
Lineage: Eukaryota; Viridiplantae; Streptophyta; Magnoliopsida; Rosales; Rosaceae
Description: sRNA RchiOBHm_Chr1g0373371
Rfam family: Small nucleolar RNA Z107/R87 (bases 1-108)
Source: RNAcentral
GCUGGCAGUGAUGACCCAAUAAAUUCAAGCUCAACAGACCGGAAUGCAGGCUUCUCUAAUAUUCUUAGAGAUGUUUGCGUGUCGACAACCCCGCUGAACUGAGCCAUCUCUCUCUGUUUUCUCCUCUUCAAAAUUUCUUUACUUUCUUGAAUGAUUUGUCUUCGAUCUUCAAAAUUUCUAUGCUUAUCUGAAUGAUUUGUGUUUUCAAAUCUGUGGGAAAGGAAAGUUUGCUAUGAGGAUAACAAGCUCCCUCUUCUGAGUAUGGUUGAGGAAAAUUGUUGGCAGAAUCGAACCAAUAUACAAUCGCCACCACUGAGUCAAUCUUCCUUUCCCAGUUUUUCUAUUUGUUUUUGUUUUUGUUUUGUGUGUUCUGUGCUUCUGAAUCUAAUUAGUGGUGUUUUGGUUAGAUUGGGAUGAAGCAAAUAUCAAAUAAUCCAACACUUGAUCUGAGAUAUUCGUUAUCGAGUGAAGCUAACUGAUAUCACUUCUGAAUCUAA